Molecule: long non-coding RNA, 278 nt
Organism: Salvelinus sp. IW2-2015
Lineage: Eukaryota; Metazoa; Chordata; Actinopteri; Salmoniformes; Salmonidae
Source: RefSeq, a predicted model, not a curated record
GAGAGGGGUGUGCACUGUCAGAGGCAGCAGUACACCAGUGAAAUGAGAAGCACUAUCUCCCUAGCAGCACAUUUCCACUGAGUGAGAGAGAGAGAGAGAAUAAGGGACGGAGAAAUAAGGAGAAAGGUAGCGCCAUAGAACGAGGCAGGUGAAAAGGUUCACCUGUAUCUUUCUUGGCUUCAUCUAUUUUGUGUGUGCGUAUGACAGUGGAGGAUCGUCAGAGGAGGAAGGGGAGAACCAUCUGCCUUAGUGAAGUUCAUUAAAAUAGUGAAACACUA